UACGUAGGCAGCAAGCGUUGUUCGGAGUUACUGGGCGUAAAGGGUGUGUAGGCGGUCCUCUAAGUUUGGUGUGAAAUCUCCCGGCUCAACUGGGAGGGUGCGCCGAAAACUGGAGGGCUAGCGUACUGGAUGGGAGAGUGGAAUUCCUGGUGUAGCGGUGAAAUGCGUAGAUAUCAGGAGGAACACCGGUGGUGUAGACGGCUUACUGGACCACGACUGACACUGAGGCACGAAAGCGUGGGUAGCAAACAGG
Molecule: ribosomal RNA, 253 nt
Filed under: uncultured bacterium
Lineage: Bacteria
Description: partial 16S ribosomal RNA
Rfam family: Bacterial small subunit ribosomal RNA
Source: RNAcentral